This is a non-coding RNA of Ictidomys tridecemlineatus (thirteen-lined ground squirrel), 127 nucleotides long. The record is from Rfam. NCBI's taxonomy places the organism in Eukaryota, Metazoa, Chordata, Mammalia, Rodentia, Sciuridae.
AGUAUUUGUGUGUGCAUUUGUUUAACUUGUGGACAAAGAUUUAUAUACUGGUGAAAAAAAGUAAACCCUCUUUUGCAACUCAGAACUCGCGAUUCAGUAAGAAUUUUGAUAUAUAUUGAAAAACAUU